This 24-nucleotide microRNA is filed under the name Gossypium raimondii (Peruvian cotton). RNAcentral's name for it is "gra-miR8657e". The record is from miRBase by way of RNAcentral. Lineage: Eukaryota; Viridiplantae; Streptophyta; Magnoliopsida; Malvales; Malvaceae.
UGUAGUAAUUGUAGAAGUUCAGGG